AGAGUUUGAUCCUGGCUCAGGACGAACGCUGACGGUGUGCUUUAGGCAUGCAAGUCGAACGAGAAAGCCCUUCGGGGUGAGUAGAGUGGCGAACGGGUGAGUAACACGUGGGCAACCUGCCCCUCGCAGGGGGAUAACCGGAGGAAACUCCGGCUAAUACCCCGUAAGCUUUCAGGGUCGCAUGGCCCUGUAAGGAAAGGUAGCUUCGGCCAUCCGGCGAGGGAUGGGCCCGCGGUGCAUUAGCUAGUUGGUGGGGUAAUGGCCCACCAAGGCAACGAUGCGUAGCUGGUCUGAGAGGAUGAUCAGCCUCACUGGGACUGAGACACGGCCCAGACUCCUACGGGAGGCAGCAGCCAGGAAUCUUGGGCAAUGGGCGAAAGCCUGACCCAGCAACACCGUGUGGGCGAUGAAGGCCUUCGGGUCGUAAAGCCCUGUUGAUAGGGACGAAGGGCGAAGGGUUAAUAGCCCCUAGCCUGACGGUACCUUUCGAGGAAGCCCCGGCUAACUACGUGCCAGCAGCGGCGGUAAUAC
Molecule: ribosomal RNA, 531 nt
Filed under: uncultured bacterium
Lineage: Bacteria
Description: bacterial SSU rRNA
Rfam family: Bacterial small subunit ribosomal RNA
Source: RNAcentral